GAUCCCUACAACACGCAAUCACGACCGAAACGAAGAGGGAAAAAACAAAACAAAAAUUAUUAGUUCUCCUUCUCCCGAAAGGAACAGACAACAACAACAACAACCGAACACGGUGGAAAAGGGCAAAAAAAAAAAAUCAUCAACUUGUGCAAUUUCAAGGUCGUGUUCUCAUGCACGCAAAGACGGAAACAUAACUCGGUGGGGGGUUAAGUGUAUACACGGGCAGACGUAUCGUACGUACAGCGAGGCCCUACUCUUUUGUGGCAUUGAAUGGCGUGGUGUGUCGAUGAUUGUCUCUCGAUCUAGUCGGCAAAACAAUGGAAGAGGCGGAGCAGACAAUGUAAUAUACGGCGUGUCUUUUGUUUCAAUCCAUUUUGCCAUAUCAGAGGAUGGUGUAACCUCUGUGCAACUGAGAAAAUUCUUUGUUUUCUUUUUUUUUUGUUUUUUCUGUUGUUUUGAUAUGCAGAAUAGUUUGCACGGCAGCCAAAGAUUUUCAGAGUUUGUCGUUUUACAUAAUCGACCACGGGAAGGCGAUGUGAAAAACAAAACAAAAAGGAAGGGAAGAGAAUCAUCAUUUCCCGUUCAAAGCGAAGAAUAUUCCAGGUGAAACUAUUAGCGUGUCGAGGUAAUUUUUAAACCUAAGCGUGACUGGCUUUCUAAAAAUAUAAAUUCUCUUUCCAUUUUUUUCUUCUUCUUUAUCCUUAUUAAUUUUGCUUUUAUUAAAAAUUUUUUUUGUAGUCGUUCUCUUCAAUUAAACACAAAGAAACUAAAAAUAAACAAGCGGAACUGUA
Daphnia magna is the source of this 791-nucleotide long non-coding RNA. RefSeq lists it as uncharacterized. Lineage: Eukaryota; Metazoa; Arthropoda; Branchiopoda; Diplostraca; Daphniidae. The record is from RefSeq and is a predicted model, not a curated record. The transcript is spliced from 2 exons.